This is a long non-coding RNA of Quercus robur (English oak), 612 nucleotides long. RefSeq lists it as uncharacterized. The transcript has 3 exons. Lineage: Eukaryota; Viridiplantae; Streptophyta; Magnoliopsida; Fagales; Fagaceae. The record is from RefSeq and is a predicted model, not a curated record.
UAAACUUUAGGGUCCAAUAGUGUAUUUUGAUGCAUUUUUUUAUUGGACAAAUUUGUAAUACAAGUUUUUUUCUUUAGCUGUGUUCCCCAACCAUUUUCAAAAUUUUCAGUUGGGGGACUAGAAGAGGUUAGAAUGAAUUUCCUUAGCUGUAUUUUGGUUGGGGAAUUCUAAAAAGAUGAAUUUAGGAUGAAGGUGUCAUUUGAUCAUAGAUAAGUAUAUUGUAUUUCCUCGUAACAGUAAUUAUUAGUUGUGACUCCUUACCAAUGUUUAAAAAUCUUGAAAUUUUAUUCCCAUUGCAUCAUAAUUGAAAUCUCUAUCCUGUGAAGUUCACCUAUGUCUACAUGCUCAUUUUAGUUGUUGCCACUUUAUUUAUGCUAGGAUUCAUUCCUUAGACCGGAACAGAAGAAGCUAGAGCCACUACCAACAACCAAGUAAAAGAAAGGAGUUGAACAGUAGGCAUUCAAAGUGAUUUGAGGCUGUACCAAGGUCUGUUUUGCAUAAUGGAGGCUGUGGAUUGGGAAAAUUCUUCGGGAGGAUCAAGUGAUACUGAGGCCUAUUUGCAAGAUACAAAAUAUGAGGAUGAUGAGGAACUCCAUUUUACGUCUGGGUUUA